RNAcentral lists this ribosomal RNA (406 nucleotides) under uncultured bacterium. RNAcentral describes it as "bacterial SSU rRNA". It matches the Rfam family "Bacterial small subunit ribosomal RNA", at positions 355 to 776 of the family's 1533-position model. The record is from RNAcentral.
UGGGGAAUUUUCCGCAAUGGGCGAAAGCCUGACGCAGCCAACCCGCGUGUGUGAUGAAGGCCCUAGGGUUGUAAAGCACUGUCGUGAGGGAAGAAGUUCUGACGGUACCUCACAAGAAAGCACCGGCUAACUCCGUGCCAGCAGCCGCGGUAAGACGGAGGGUGCAAGCGUUGCUCGGAAUCACUGGGCGUAAAGGGUCCGCAGGCGGCGAGAUAAGUCGGAUGUGAAAGCCCGGGGCUCAACCCCGGAACUGCAUUCGAAACUGUCUCACUUGAAUACGGGAGAGGAGAGUGGAAUUCCUGGUGUAGAGGUGAAAUUCGUAGAUAUCAGGAGGAACACCAGUGGCGAAAGCGGCUCUCUGGCCCGAUAUUGACGCUCAUGGACGAAAGCGUGGGUAGCAAACAGG